UACGGGGGGGGCAAGCGUUGUUCGGAAUUACUGGGCGUAAAGGGCUCGUAGGCGGCCAACUAAGUCAGACGUGAAAUCCCUCGGCUUAACCGGGGAACUGCCUCUGAUACUGGAUGGCUUGAGAUUGGGAGAGGGAUGCGGAAUUCCAGGUGUAGCGGUGAAAUGCGUAGAUAUCUGGAGGAACACCGGUGGCGAAGGCGGCAUCCUGGACCAACACUGACGCUGAGGAACGAAAGCCAGGGGAGCGAACGGG
RNAcentral lists this ribosomal RNA (253 nucleotides) under uncultured bacterium. RNAcentral's name for it is "partial 16S ribosomal RNA". It matches the Rfam family "Bacterial small subunit ribosomal RNA", at positions 524 to 776 of the family's 1533-position model. The record is from RNAcentral.